UACGUAGGGGGGCAAGCGUUGUCCGGAUUUAUUGGGCGUAAAGAGCGUGUAGGCGGCUUGGUAGGUCUCGCGUCAAAACCUGAGGCUCAACCUCAGUUCGCGUGGGAAACCACCUAGCUAGAGUCCGGAAGAGGAGAACGGAAUUCCCAGUGUAGCGGUGAAAUGCGCAGAUAUUGGGAAGAACACCAGUGGCGAAGGCGGUUCUCUGGGACGGUACUGACGCUGAGACGCGAAAGCGUGGGGAGCGAACAGG
RNAcentral lists this ribosomal RNA (253 nucleotides) under uncultured bacterium. RNAcentral describes it as "partial 16S ribosomal RNA". It matches the Rfam family "Bacterial small subunit ribosomal RNA", at positions 524 to 776 of the family's 1533-position model. The record is from RNAcentral.